Molecule: ribosomal RNA, 405 nt
Filed under: uncultured prokaryote
Description: bacterial SSU rRNA
Rfam family: Bacterial small subunit ribosomal RNA
Source: RNAcentral
UGGGGAAUAUUGCGCAAUGGGGGAAACCCUGACGCAGCAACGCCGCGUGAGUGAAGAAGGUUUUCGGAUCGUAAAGCUCUGUCUUUGGGGAAGAAAAAAAUGACGGUACCCAAGGAGGAAGCCCCGGCUAACUAUGUGCCAGCAGCCGCGGUAAUACGUAGGGGGCAAGCGUUGUCCGGAAUAACUGGGCGUAAAGAGUACGUAGGCGGUUUGUUAAGUUAGAUGUGAAAGUUUGCAGCUCAACUGUAAAAGUGCAUUUAAAACUGUCAGACUUGAGUCUCGGAGAGGUAAGCGGAAUUCCGAGUGUAGCGGUGAAAUGCGUAGAGAUUAGGAAGAACACCGGUGGCGAAGGCGGCUUACUGGACGAGUACUGACGCUCAGGUACGAAAGCGUGGGGAGCAAACA